UGCCGCUAUUAUUGGGUCUAAAGCGUCCGUAGCCGGCCCUGUAAGUCCCUAGUGAAAUCUGGCAGCAAACUGUCAGGCGUGCUGGGGUUACUGCGGGGCUCGAGACCGGGAGAGGACACAGAUACUCGUAGGGUAGGGGUUAAAUCCUAUAAUCCUACGGGGAUCACCUGUGGCGAAGGCGUGUGUCUGGAACGGGUCUGACGGUGAGGGACGAAAGCUAGGGGAGCGAUCGGGAUUAGAUACCCCUGUAGUCC
RNAcentral lists this ribosomal RNA (254 nucleotides) under uncultured bacterium. RNAcentral describes it as "partial 16S ribosomal RNA". It matches the Rfam family "Archaeal small subunit ribosomal RNA", at positions 493 to 747 of the family's 1478-position model. The record is from RNAcentral.